Molecule: long non-coding RNA, 189 nt
Filed under: Fukomys damarensis (Damara mole-rat)
Lineage: Eukaryota; Metazoa; Chordata; Mammalia; Rodentia; Bathyergidae
Description: lncRNA (ENSFDAG00000028568.1)
Source: RNAcentral
AGAACACCAAGGAGCCAGUGCCAUCAUGAUGUGCCAGCUAAAUAAGUUAUCACCAAAAUCCAUACUUGGCUUUUAUAUGAAGCCCACAGCAUGUCUGUCCCCACCAGUUAUGACACUGCAUCCAGCGCUACCUGGGCCAGGGUUCUUCCCUACACAGAUUAUUUGGUUUUGAGGCUGAGAGGCGAGGCC